GCUCUCAGGCCCCGCCUCCCCGGGGCCGGCUCGGGCCACUUCUUGCGCGCUGCCAGAAGGAGCUAUUUUGAGCAGGCGGAAUUUUGCUCUGGUGGCCCAGGCUGGAGUGCAGUGGUGCGAUCUUGGCUCACUGCAACCUCUGCCUCCCAGAUUCAAGCAAUUCUCCUGCCUCAGCCUCCCAAGUCGCUGGGAUUACAGGUGCCUGCCACCAUGCCCAGCUUCAAGGAGACUCUGCAUUCAAAAGACCACUCCCGGGCACUGCCUUCUACCAACUUCCCCAUCCAGCUCUGAUUGCAUCGGACCACUGUCUUCCCUCCAUGCCUCCAGCCCUGAGGUUGUCAACGGGGUGCUCCAGCCUCCAUGUGCACCCUGUGACUUCUUUCAUCCUAGUCCUUCUGACCCUCGUGGCUUCUCCUGCUCCAAGGCCAAGCUCGGGACCCUGUCAUCAUCCCCGGGGACAGGCCCCAUCUUAGAGAGGAUCCACCCAGCUCCCCGCUCCUGAGCCAUCUUCCAGCUAUCCCGCCUCGAGACUCCCACCGCACCUGCUCCUGGGCUGCAGCUGCACCCAACAAGUCAACAUGUGGAUUGCUUCUAGAAUUUGGAUAUUAUGAACACUGCUGUGCUGAACAUUCUUGUACACUUAUAUGGUUUGGCUGUGUCCCCACCCAAAUCUCAUCUUGAAUUGUAGCUCCCAUAAUUCCUAUGUGUCGUGGGAGGGACCCAAUGGGAGGUAAUUGAAUCAUAGGGGCAGGUCUUUCCCCUGCUGUCCUUAUGAUAGUGAAUAAGUCUCAUGAGAUCUGAUGGUUUUAUACAUGGGAGUUCCCCUGCACAAGCCCUCUUGUCUGCCGCCAUGUAAGAUGUGCCUUUGCUUCUCCUCUGCCUUCCACCAUGAUUGUGAGGACUCCCCAACCAUGUGGAACUGUGAGUCCAUUAAACCUCUUUCCUUUGUAAAUUA
Molecule: long non-coding RNA, 955 nt
Organism: Homo sapiens (human)
Lineage: Eukaryota; Metazoa; Chordata; Mammalia; Primates; Hominidae
Exons: 4
Source: RefSeq, a predicted model, not a curated record